UGAACGCUGGCGGUAUGCUUAACACAUGCAAGUCGUACGAAGAUCUUUGAUCUUAGUGGCGGACGGGUGAGUAACACGUGAGAAUCUGCCCUUAGGAAGAGGAUAACAGCUGGAAACGGUUGCUAAUACUCUAUACGCCGAGAGGUAAAAGGAUUUAUCCACCUUAGGAAGAGCUCGCGUCUGAUUAGCUUGUGGUAAGGUAAUGGCUUACCAAGGCGACGAUCAGUAGCUGGUCUGAGAGGACGAUCAGCCACACUGGGACUGAGACACGGCCCAGACUCCUACGGGAGCAGCAGUGGGGAAUUUUGGACAAUGGGGCAACCUGAUCCAGCAAUGCGCGUGUGUGAAGAAGGCCUGGUCGUUAAG
RNAcentral lists this ribosomal RNA (366 nucleotides) under uncultured bacterium. RNAcentral's name for it is "bacterial SSU rRNA". It matches the Rfam family "Bacterial small subunit ribosomal RNA", at positions 30 to 430 of the family's 1533-position model. The record is from RNAcentral.